CCUACGGGAGGCAGCAGUGGGGAAUAUUGCACAAUGGGGGAAACCCUGAUGCAGCGACGCCGCGUGAGUGAAGAAGUAUUUCGUUAUGUAAAGCUCUAUCAGCAGGGAAGAAAAUGACGGUACCUUAGCAAGAAGGCCCGGCUAACUACGUGCCAGCAGCCGCGGUAAUAAGUAGGGGGCAAGCGUUAUCCGGAUUUACUGGGUGUAAAGGGAGCGUAGACGGCAGUGCAAGUCUGGAGUGAAAGGCGGGGGCUCAACCCCUGGACUGCUCUGGAAACUGUACGGCUAGAGUGCAGGAGAGGUAAGUGGAAUUCCUAGUGUAGCGGUGAAAUGCGUAGAUAUUAGGAGGAACACCAGUGGCGAAGGCGGCUUACUGGACAGUAACUGACGUUGAGGCUCGAAAGCGUGGGGAGCAAACAGGAUUAGAUACCCCAGUAGUC
Molecule: ribosomal RNA, 440 nt
Filed under: uncultured bacterium
Lineage: Bacteria
Description: partial 16S ribosomal RNA
Rfam family: Bacterial small subunit ribosomal RNA
Source: RNAcentral